AUUGAACGCUGGCGGCAGGCCUAACACAUGCAAGUCGAGCGAGUGGCGGACGGGUGAGGAAUGUCUGGGAAUCUGCCUGAUGGAGGGGGAUAACGACUGGAAACGGGAUCUAAUACCGCAUACCACAAUAUGCGCCCAGAUGGGUUUAGCUAGUAGGUGGGGUAAAGGCUCACCUAGGCGACGAUCCCUAGCUGGUCUGAGAGGAUGACCAGCCACACUGGAACUGAGACACGGGCCAGACUCCUACGGGAGGCAGCAGUGGGGAAUAUUGCACAAGGGGCGCAAGCCUGAUGCAGCCAUGCCGCGUGUGUGAAGAAGGCCUUCGGGUUGUAAAGCACUUUCAGCGAGGAGGCGUUACUCGCAGAAGAAGCACCGGCUAACUCCGUGCCAGCAGCCGCGGUAAUAC
RNAcentral lists this ribosomal RNA (406 nucleotides) under uncultured bacterium. Its description in RNAcentral is "partial 16S ribosomal RNA". It matches the Rfam family "Bacterial small subunit ribosomal RNA", at positions 30 to 526 of the family's 1533-position model. The record is from RNAcentral.